UAAAAAAAAAAUUCUUUCUGCCUAUUCUUGUUGCUGUUUUAAAAUAAACUUUAGAAUUACCCUAGUAAUUGUUAAGGGGACUUUUGUUGGUGGUCCAGUGGUUAAGACGCAGGGAACUUGGGUUCCAUUUAUGAUUGGGGAACUAAGAUCCUACCUGCCAGUGGAGUGGUCAAAAAAAUUGUUUAUAUCUUUAUGGAGAUCAUAUUAAAUGUGUGAAGUAACUCAAAUAAUUGCAGUCUUUAUGGUACUGAGUCUUCCUAUCCAUGAACCGGCCUGUUUUUAUGUGUUGUUUUUUUCCCUCUUAGUGUUCUUCAGAAGUUUUACAGUGUUCAUACAGUCUUGAACAUUUUUUUAAAGUUUAUUUCCAGGCCAAGUGGAGUCCAGCUCCCCCAACCAGGACAAGAGAUGAUUGGUUCACAGAUGGGAUGACCGAGGACCAGCAGGCCCCCAGAAAGCCUUCCCAGAGGGAUUUGUGGCAGGACUGGGUCCAGAACCUGUGUCUCAUGGCUCCAGCCCAUGACUUCCUCUUCCAUCAGUGGGGACUGUGGGGCAGUGGGAUUGGCUUGGAAUAAAGAGGGUCUUAAGAUUC
Non-coding RNA from Odocoileus virginianus texanus, 589 nucleotides. Lineage: Eukaryota; Metazoa; Chordata; Mammalia; Artiodactyla; Cervidae. The record is from RefSeq and is a predicted model, not a curated record.